AUGCUUGUCGCGUGGCGCGGUUGGGUGGGUCUCGUUCCGUUGCGCGCGCGGGCAAGCGACGGGGCCCCUGCCGCGUCCCGUGCACGGCGACGACGUCGGCGCCGUAUGGGCGGGCGCGGGUGCGGCACAUGCGACGGAUGCGUGGUGGCGCUCCUACGGACUAUAGUAGCGUGUGGCCGCGAAAGACGUGCGGCGCCAUCGAGUGCGCCGCGCAGCAGCCCGGCUGCCCAUGCUCCCCAUUGGAGUUUGCGUGUGAUUUCCCUCCCCUCGCCUUGGGCCCAGAGAUUCACCAUUUCGUGCUGGGGAGAAGGGACCGCGACCACGCUGCACACUGCUGCUUCUCAGGUCUCAGCAACCAGCUCUGUUUCGAUGUGUGUAUAUAUUGGUAGGGUUUUCGCUUCUGCCCCGCACGCACCCGGCGCCGGCCAUGGAGAGGACGCACAAACGCAUGCAAGGGUACCUCUCAACCUGCAUUUUAUGCGCACAGCGUUUCAAAAUUUUCACCGAUCCUCGUUAGCAUUUAUAGCUGGCCCAGCUCGCGGCACAGUGCUGCCACAGCGCCUUCAAGUACGCUCUGCUACUACCACUGCAUAUCGUCGCGAUUCAUUGCGCGGUCCUGGGAAUUCUGCAGCCUCAUCUCACCAGAUCCUAUGCCUGCACUGCGCACCCACGAUGCAAAGAGGCCAGAGCCUCUGCCCUGCACUCGCAGCGACCAAAUUAUGGCAGUGUGGGUCGUCGCCCAUGUUGGUCCAACACUUGCAACUAAAUAUACAGCAACUGAACAUAUAUCUAAAAAAACACAAUUCUCUCCAAAUAAAAACUCUAAAAAAAGAACACAUGUUUCUAUCAUCGUUUCCAUGUGAGCUCAAGCAUUCACAACAUUUUAUCUUCAUUAUUUUCGGCAACAUUGUUCGCAACUGA
This 921-nucleotide ribosomal RNA is filed under the name Triticum aestivum (bread wheat). RNAcentral's name for it is "partial small subunit ribosomal RNA". The record is from RNAcentral. Lineage: Eukaryota; Viridiplantae; Streptophyta; Magnoliopsida; Poales; Poaceae.